Long non-coding RNA from Mus musculus (house mouse), 16699 nucleotides. RefSeq annotates it as predicted gene, 54205. NCBI's taxonomy places the organism in Eukaryota, Metazoa, Chordata, Mammalia, Rodentia, Muridae. The transcript has 2 exons. The record is from RefSeq and is a predicted model, not a curated record.
CAACACGUGACUGAUGAGCACCACCCUCACUACUUCCACAGUGCUGACUAUGCUUCCAAUAUCGGCUCCUCAAGCAGAAGUAGGCCACAGGCAUGCCAGCAGUCACACGGCUUUGGAACCACCAGAGGCGUCAUUCUACUCAUCUGGAAGACUGUAAAGAAAGACACUUACUGCGUAAGAAGGGCAGCUGAGAGCACACUGGUACUGUUGGUACUUUACAGCUGAGCAAGAUGAGGAACACAGGGUUCAGACACGAGAAAAAAGUCCCAAUAGAUGAACUUCUUCCGGUCUUGCAUGGCUUUGUAGCCCAUGCAGUGUUUGUUAUGACGGUUUGGAGGGUUUGAAAUAAAAAGCGUUGACUUUGAGUCUGGAAUAGUUCUUUUCCUCGGCACUAGAACAUUCCAAAAACAACUGGUUCAGAGAUACUAUGUCCCUUAUUGCCAGGCAACUUCUGCUGUCUAUAAUUUUAUGGUCCAAGCUGGAUUCACAUAUGGAGAACGUAGUAGAAGGGACAAAGAUGGAUGGCUGCUGUCUGGUUUUAAUUCUUAAUUUAUCUUACACACGGUUUUGAGUUUCCAUAUAGAAAGAUAGAUGAUUUUGUAUAAUUGUUACCAUAAAUAAGAUAUAGAACAGUCUGUCACAUUCCCCACAUCCCAGACUCCUUCCUUUGUUGUCACAAUACAGCCAUCUCAACCUUGGACACUCACCUGUUCCCUUUCCUUAAAGCUUUGUCUCUUCGAGAAUGCAAAUGGGGUCAAAUGGAGCCACGAGUGUGUACCUUUGAAAGACUAACUUAUUUUCCAUAGGAGGCAGCAGGUGACAUUGCACACUGAGGACACGAUAGUUCACUUCUUUAUACUGAUGAGUAUGACUUCAAGUCAACAUGAGGCAUUAUUCAUCCUUUCACCUGCUAAAGGACAUUGUGGUUGUUUCUUGUUUGGCACGUUUAUGAAUAAUGCUGAUAUAAAUGUUCAUGUACAUGGUUUUGCUCUGAGCAUAAAUUAUUUCCUUCCUGCACAGGCAUGCUAUUGUUAUGCUGUAGGAUAUAUUAGUUAUACUUAAAAUUAUAAGAAACGUCAAAACAGUUUUCAUCCCAGCCAUACGGUCUUGCAUUUCCUUCUUUCUCUUGUGGCAGAUCAGCUUAGUGCGGAGUCUCUGUAGAGGUUAAAAUUACGGCAUUUUGUUGGUUUUGCUGUGAUUCUUUUGAGGUUUUGCUAUUGGACGGUUUUCCAUGGCCAUCCUAAUGGGUAUGUGUAUGGUAGGCUUCGGUUUGGUGUUUUGUUUACACUUCCCUAAUAUCUGACAUCAUUGGUCACCUCUGAAGUGUUUGUUUAACAUCUUGCAUCAGUUUGGCUAGGCAGCACCCAGUUACUUGGAAAAAUAUAUCAGGAUGGUUCUCUCAGUGUGUCUGCCAGUUGUAUUUAUCGCUGAGAUCAAUAGACUCUGGAAAGCCACCUCUCAUCCAUCAUGCUGGAGGGCCUCAUCUACUUAAUUGAAGGCCUUCAGGAGAAGCAUGGGCAUUUCACAGAGAGCAGGAGGCCUGCAGUUUGCUGCCUUGGCACCAGUCCUCUUUGCAUCACUCCCUGCUGGCUUAGGAAAUGCUGCUUUCCAUAGCUGCCUGAGCCACUUCUUUGAAUUAAGCAUCUCUUUCAAGAGAAAGGUCCUGUUGGUUGUACUCAUCUGGAGACCCUUGCUAACGUGCUACCCAGACCUUUUCCCCAUAUUUUAUACUCUGUGGUGUGUGUGUGUGUGUGUGUGUGCGUGUGUGUGUGUGUGUGUGAUUAUUGCAUUUUCCAAAGUGUCUUUGAGACUGGAUAAAAAUUACUUUACUAGAUAUGUUGUAUUCCCAUAUGUUCUCCAGAAACUGGCUCAUGAUAAAAUUCUCUUAGGAGUGUCUUUCUCAUAAAAAUGUUUCCAUUUAUAUGAGGGUCACAUUUUUCAUUUUUUUUUCUUUCAAGGAUCACAUGUUGCGUAUCACACAUUUAUUUCAAGUCAAGGACACGAAGAUCUCCGGAGGUUUGUGUGUUUAUGUUUAGGAUUCACUGGGCAGCGAGGUUACAGCGAGGUUUGCCUGUCACACGAGGCAUGGAUCCAAUCUGCACUUUGCCUUUGUACAACUCAUAUAAGACUUUCCUGACACUGCUUACUGGAAAGACUCAUCCUUGCUUUGUGGGAUUGACUUGCGUCUCAAUUUAGUAUGCUGGUGUGAGCUUGUGCCUAGGCUUGCUAUUCUGCCCAGUGAUAAUGUGCUUCUAUCACUUUCCCAGUGUCACAUCUUUGAUUGACCCAGGUUUAGAAUACACUGCGGAAUUGAAUAGCACAGGCUCUCCUGUUCCACCCAUCAGCAGGGAUGCAUUACCAUAUACUCAGCCAAAAGCACAGAGGUGAAUGGGAAGCAGCCAGCUCCCCAAAUCUCAGGGUGUUCUGGAGAAGCAUGCGGUUAAUCCCUCUGCUGCAUCAUCAUCUUGUAUGUGCUGUGGAAGAGAUUUGCAUUUGUGAGCAUAGUUUCUAUACCAGGGUCUGUGGGACGUUGCAUGCACUAAAGGGAACUUCAUAGGCUCCAAAAUUGUGUUAAUAUCUAACAAACCUCACUAAUGUCAUGUGGUUAUCAUUUAUUGUAUCAUAAUUUUGUAAAGUAUUAUAUGUCCUUCUUCUUAGUUGGAGUUUUAUCUUCAUCAGUAAAUCUAGCUUUGUCAUUCAUAUUAGAAGUUUAUAUUAGGUAAAAAUUUCCAAGUUAUUAAAAUGUAAAAUAAUUAUGUAUCAAUACAUAAUAGGAUAGAUAAUAGCUUUCAAAACACAAUCAUUGUGAUGUCAGUAGGCUUCCCUUCACUUAGUUUCUUUUGAUAGAAAAUAACAAAAUGUCAAAAAUCUGACUCAGGUUUUAAAUAAUUUCCAAAAAGGGACAUUUAUUGGCUUUUAUAGUUGAGAAAACAUAUUGCAUUUGGUGCCAGGGAUGAAUUUGAAGUCUGGUGGGAUUCAAAGUUAUCACCAGCUGGCUGUGUCUCUUCACUCCUAUGCAGCAUGAACAUUGCUGUCCCGGUAGGAAAGAUGCCAUCGGGAGGCAGGCAGUCAGCAUUCACAUUAGUUACUGGAAAGGGUUGUUCCUGCUGGGACUGAAUGCCCAUCUAGAGGCAGCUACCAAUUAAUAUGGUAUGAAGUUUGGUACAUCAUGAAUUACAGGCCCUCCCUUGUGAACAUGAUUUGUCAGCAGAUAAAGAGAGUAACAAACAGAGUGGGGUGCGAGUAAUGGCUACGCUUAUUCUGUGGUCCCUUCUCUUGGUGGUUCAGAGCCGUUAUCUUCCUGUUGCUGUGGUAUAACACCAUGACCAAAUGCAAAUGCCAGGGAGGUAUGGCAGCACAGUAAGCAGGAAAAAAAAAAAAGGGAAGCUGAGUCAGAUCUCAACUGCAAGCACAGAGCAGAGCCAAAACUGAUAGAAGAGUGAGUCUGUAAGACCCCAAAGCUCCACCCCCAGUGAUAUACUUCCUCCAGCAAGGCCACGCCUCCAGACACUUCCCAAACAGCAUCACCAACUAGGGAACCAAGAGUUUAAUUUUUUUUUAGAUUUAUUUAUUUUAUGCAAAUGUUUAUGUUGCUUGCAAAUAUGUAUAUAUGUCUAUGUACCACAUGCAUACCAUGUGCCUGUAGAGGUCAGAAGAGGGUGACAGAUCCCUCUUGGAACUGGAGUUACAAAUGGUUUUGAUCUGUCAUGUGGGUCCUGGGUAUUGAUUCCUGGUGCUCUGCAGGAACAAGCACUCCAUGCUCAGAGCCAUCCUUCCAGCUUUAUAGGAGCAAAGCAUUUAAAUCUCAGAGUUUAUGGGGGGAUAUUUUUUGUUCUAACAAAAUCAUCCUGUCUGUUUUUUUUUUUUUUAAUUUAUCUCUAUACAUGUAUCAUCCACCAGCCUUUUUCUUUUAUAAUGACCCAAUUCAGAGAUGUUUCUCUGAAUCAUUCCUAACAGGGAAAUCUAUACUUCUUUUCAUCAGGAGCUCCAAGUUGUCACUUUGUGUUCUCAAGUUGUGAAUAUUUUCCAUCCUUUGAGCUAGAAAGAAAUUCUCAGUUUCAUUGUAGCUGCAGGUGGUGUGGGUAUGAAUGGAAAAGCUACCUGUGUUUUCUUUUCUCUGUCCCGUUACAUUGUUCCAGCUGUGAUAUAGACAACCCUGGACUAAGUUUCAGUGUUCAUUUGAAAUGUUAUGGUUUGUUACUUUUAAAAAUAGUCAAGCUACAUUUACUUCGUUUUUACCUAUCUCUUAGUAAAUAUUUGUUAAAUGGAUUACUGAAUUGUUAGUGUCAGAGAAACAUUAUUUAUUAUCACAUAUCACUAAAUAAUGUAUAACUAUUUUGUCUGCUUUCACAAUCUUGCCAUUUCCAGUUUACACACAAUCUUAUAUAUGUGUGUAUAUGUGUGUUUUGAAGUCUGCUUUUUAAGCUAAUUUCAAUUUUUUCCUUUCUGUCCAGUAACUUAUGCCUUUUUGGUUACAGCAUUGCUAACAUAUUAAUUUUUAAAAUCUGAAGGAAUUCUUCCUUUUCUCUUACCUUUCUGUCAUUUCAUAACCUACACGGUUUCAUUGUAUCUGUGAUAUUCAAUUCACAAUAUGGGUUUUUUUUUUCUGUUUGAAAAUAAAAUCACAGAUAAUUCAUGCUUGCAAUCAGUUUGAUUGCUUUAAGUUCUACUGAGUACUAAGGCCAUACCCACUCCCCAGACACCUUCCUUCAUGGCCACUCAUGGCACCCUCUGCCUAUCACCACAUGCUCUCCCUUACCCGUGCAAUAUUCUCUCUUAGAGAACAAUUUCACCUCUCCUUCCCUCUUCCUCCUCCACCUCUCUCUCUGUUUGUCUCUCUCCCUCCCUUGCUCUCUCAUCUUUGUAAAUACUACUCCAAAGGAUAGGUCUAAUUACAUGCAAUCUACCAAGUUAUAUGCUGUAUUCAUUACCAUCUCUUUGUAUUUUGAUAAACCCAGUUCAUAACCAUUCUUGGCAUAAGGAAAUACUGAAAAUUUGCAAAGCAAUAAGAAUAAAGAACGGAUCUGUUAGUCUCUCUCUCUCUCUCUCUCUCUCUCUCUCUCUCUCUCUCUCUCUUUAGAACUUGCGUACCUUUCCUCAGGUUAAAGUAUCAUUUAUUCUUUGCCUCUUGUGGUAAUGAAUAUAUGUGAUAGGCAUCUUAUAAAGGGUCCCAAGAUGAUCGUGUCUUCUGCUCAUAAAAAAAUAAAACUUGCCUCAGCAUUGCAAGGGUGUCAUGUCUGGGACUAGACUGUGGGAUUCGCUUGCUAGCUGUCUCUCCUGGGAUGAUUUUCAUAAAACCAGCUUCAAUAUUGACAGGUAUCCUAUGGAGACUCAGCCUCCAGCUGAGACCCAUCACAGAGCUCAGCAUAGCCAAUGGUGUAAGACUGGAGGUGUUCAUCUGCGUGGCUGGCCUUCCUGGGACAUUUCAGUCCUAGUUAACACCUUGCUUGCAGCUCUGUAAGAGGCACCAGGACAAAGGACCUUUUAUGUCAUUGCUGUGUAGUUGGUCCAUAACAACUGCAGUUAUAUAACCAAUACGUGUGGAUAUCUGUUGUGGAGCAACAACACGUAGGGAUAGCCACCCGAUUUUUUUGUGCAUUUAUUUGUGCAUUUACUUCUCUACAUAUUUCUGUCAUCAUACUUUUUGUAUCUUAACCUACUCCGUGUAGAUGACUCUAACUUUUUAUCUGUAUACGCAUACCCUGAGUUUCAUAGUUAAAACUCUAUUGUCCUAUAUGUUCCUCAAGGUGACAAUGUCCAAAACUUAAAAUUCCACCUGCUUCUUCUCCUCUCUUUGCUGCUUUGGGCAGUUAUAUCAACGUUUAUUGUUUAAGCCCAACACUUGGAAUUGUCCUGGAUUGAUCUGUCCUCCCUGUGAUAUUCCUAAGCAAAAAGGUAGCAUUUCUACCUUUGUACGCGGUAACCGUAUGAUAGUUAAACUCCUUAUUACAUACAGCCUGUGGUCUUGCGUGGUCUGCUCUGGUUGCAUUGCUUUUCCUUUGUUCUAUCUAAACCAUCAUCAGCCUGCAGGUCUGUGGGUUCCUACGAUUUCUCCCAGUCAGCUGCUGUCGCUUUUUCCAUGUUCUGGAGUGUGGUGCACUUCCAACUCUUCAUGACUUCUCCUGUUAUAUCUCAUUCUGCCAUGCUUGUCUCCUACAUAUUCCACCCCCUCCAUUCACCCCCACUUAUCACUCCCACUGCAGUUCAACCCCCUUUCUCCAGGAAACCUUCUUAGACCAUCUUGGUAUGUUUGCCAGCCCACCUUCUUUUUCCGUGUUGAGAUAGCCCACACUGAGCAACAUCUCCUGAGUUACUCUUAUGCUUUUGCUUGCUCCCUUCCUGCCUGCCUGCCCGCCAACCCGCCUACCCGCCCGCCUUUCUCUGUGACAAAUGUUUGAGAACACAAUCUAAGGAGAAGGAAUCUAUUUGAUUCAUGGUCUCAGCCCAGAGUUAGCUUGUUCCAUUGCCUGUGGGCCUGUAUUAAGGCAGAGCACCACUGUAGACGGGUAUAAUAGGACACAGCUACUUAAUACCCGCUAGGAGAAAAAAAAAGAGAGAGAGAAAGCCAGGAAGGGCCUUCCACACUACAGCAAGAGGUCAUGAACUCCCUGGGGUUGGCCUUUUAGCCGAUGCAUAACAAAGAAGAAUCAUUAGGAAAUAAUGGAAGAUUUCAGCAGAAAUUGAGAAGAGAUGCAUGGGAAUAUUGAUUUUUGGUUUUCCAACUAGCUCUCUCUUCUUCCUUUAUCCUUCUUCCCCACUGAAGUAAUUUAUGAAUUUUCUCAGGACCCAAUGACUCACUCACGGGAAGACAGAAGUAACUCAUUUACAACACAGAAUUUAUUUUCUCGGAUGAAAGAGGCGACUCCUCUAUUAGAUUUUCUCUAGACAACAGGUGUCCUAGUGUGCUUUCUCUCGCUGUGAUAAACACCAUGACCAGAAACAAUUUGGGGAAGAGAGGAUUCAUUUGUCUUACACAUAUGGAAGACGGUCCAUCACUGAGUGAAGUCAGGGCAUGAACUCAAGUCACAAACAUGAAGGUAGGGAUUGAAGCAGAGUACAUGGAAGGAUGCUACUUCCUAGUUUGUCUCCCUGGCCUUCUCAGCCUUACUUUCUUAUGCACUUAGGACCUCAUGUUCAGGGAUGCCCAGAUGGGGCCCCACAUCAACCCUUAAUGUGGAGAAACUGUCUCAGUUGAUGUUCCUCUUUCCCAAAUGACUCCGGAUUGUGUCACUGACAGACAACUAGCCAGCACAACAGGUGAAAGUUGGGACAGAGAUACAUUAUGAGUUUUGCUUCUUUAGCUCUUUUAAAGACAGGGAUUGGAUGCACAUAGCUGUCAUUUACAUUAGAAAAGUUUCACUGGAGCUCUGCAGACGAGUAUACACGAGACCUCCUCCGUAAGAAAGGGAUCAUCAGAAUAAUUCACAGUCGUGCUAACUCCUAAAGCUGAGCGUGAAUGCACAUGGAGAGCAGUAAGAUUAAUGGGUCUACAGACGAAAGUGAUAAAAAGAUGCAUAUCUGCACCUGCUUGUGUCCACCUUUAAUGUUGUUUGAAUUCACAGCUUUGAAAUUCCUUUGAGAAGUGCUGUUUGUUCAGAGACUACAUUUAAAUAUAGGAUCAGAGGCUCUGUGAGCCCAGCCCUCCAACCACCAUACCUCUUCCCCUGCAGCAAACUCCACAGCAGUCGGAGAGUCAUUCUGAGCACUGCUCUGCAUUGCAUGUAUUUUCAUUUCAGUUUCAUAAACACCUUCUACACCUUCAAAUAAGCACUGUUCUUGUGCAAGAUGCUGCUGCCAGAAAGCUUCCUUUUUGUGUAGAUGAAAGCAGCUCUGUGCCUUAGCGAGGGUCUCCUGGAUCAGCCGCGACAUCAUGGCAGUGCCAGCGGAUGCUUGGGAUGCUCUUCUGGGUUCCAGGAUGUCCUGGGUCGCUCUGCAGCUGCAGGGGGAGCACUACCACUCUACUAGCAAGGGCAGCUUGCAAACCAGAGCCGCUGCUCCAUAUGCCCCUUGGACCUCUGUGUUGUGUACAGCAUUUUGUGUCCGAAUUACUCUUUUGUUCACUACCUUAGUCUUGUGCCUAUUUGGAAUUUUAAUGAAUUGUUAACUCUUUGGUAAAUGCCAUAAAGAGACAUGGCAACAUUCUCAUCUAUAUAUUCCCUAAACUCCCAUGCAGGGCCAAGAAUUUAAAUAUACCUACGAGACAUUUGUUGAGAUGAUAUUUUCUUACGCAGAUAUUGUGAAUGACUGGGACUAAUUCCCUAGUAAUAUACUAAUCAUAUUCUAAAGCUUUCACUCCGGUUGCAUUGCCAGAAAUACUAUUAAGCUCCUGGCCUAUCCACUUCUCAACACUGAGAAGACAGGUUUGACAGAACGCGAUGAUUAAAAUGUUUAAUGUUCAAUUAGCCUUCUCGGAUCGCGUCUGGUGAAGGCACUGGUAAGCAAUUUAAGUUUGUAUUAUAGUGAAUAUUGUUUUACAGAAGCCUUAAGAGAGCACCUUGAAAAGGGCACUGCUGGCUUGAAACUUAAAAUAUCCAAAGCAUCACUUAGGAACUACGAAGUCCAGAUAAAAGGACUAUAGUGGGGGAAAAAAAAAAAGCGAGUGGCACAGACUAGAAAACUGAAAAAGGUGAUACAACAACUCCAAAUGAAGGAUUCAUUUACUCUAGCAGAAACAAGGAAAAGGUGGUCAAGGUGAAUGACUACUAAGUUUACAGUAGUCUAUUAACUUCCAAUAUUAGGAAUGCUGGGGAACUAGCAGUAAUUUUUCUGAGCUGUUACAUUUCAAAGACACAUCACAGUAGUAAGUAUAUAGAAUAUAGAUUAUGAAAUGUGAUGGAUUUCCAUCACUGAGAAGCCAAGAAUGUAUGCUGUGUUGAGUAUUGUGGGAAAAAGUCAAUGGUAGGCACUGGCAGAGUUAGGCGGGGGCAGGCAUUGUUAGUGCCUGGUGGUUGUAAGAGUGUGCACUGACUGUCAUAUGUCAGAAAUGCAGGACCGAUCACUGCACACAAGUGGAGCAAGCUAGGUCAUCAUCAAACUCUGCCACUGCUGAUCAGAUACUCCAAGCACCCAACCCUCUCAGGCUUGUGCUUGGCAGAGCUUUCAAAUCUUGCUCUUCCUCUCAGGGGAUGGCAUCCUCUUUCACAGAGCCAGAGAGGCUUCUAGAAGAAGACUCAGUAGUGUAACUCCAAGUCUCUAGUCAUAGGAAUCACUGAAGAAUGAGUGGUCUCACCAGCCAACAUUUUACCCAAUGUCACCUAAAAGUCCACACUGACUUCAGACUCCUUCAAAUGCUUCCAAGUAAAAUCUGAGAUGUCACCCAUUAGCUCUGGUCCUGCCUAGUCCAGUCACAGAGUUGAAAACCAAUGGUGUGCCAUCAUAAAUGUCUCUUACACUUUCAGUGUUUCUGACUCUUGAUGCAAUGUAAUUUCUUCUUCCCUUAUGAUCAUGGCCAUUGUGAACCUAUACCUUUGCUUUUGAGUAAAUUUUCAUUUUUAUGUGGCUUUAAAUUAUAGUGACUUCAACUGCAAUAGAAACAUGGGAAAAAAAAUCCAGGAAGGGCAGAUUCAUGAAAGAAGAAAUGUAAAUUACCAAUAUAUAUGCAAACAUGCAAUUUCCAUAGUAAUAAAUUAGAUGCCAAUUAAAAGUCAAUUUCUUUGCAUAUAUGAAGUUGGCAAGGAUGAAAAAAAAUGCCUUUAUUUGAAAGGUUCAAGAAAGCAAGCACUGUAGUAUGUUGGUACAAUAAAAGAAAAAAAUCAGAAAAAUGUUCAAAAAUUCAUGAACAGCAGUGUUUACCGCAUAGACAAAAUUGAGAAGGGGAAACUGUUAGGUGGAUUAUCAAGGAAUGUUGGUGAAGAUGGUUUAGAGGAAUUUAAUGAUAUCAGGAGAAACACAAUUUCUUGCUAACAAGACAGAGGCGGUUAUAGACCACUACCACCCCAUCCCCGUGCACACAUAUACACAUACAGGACAGUGUACUAGUGGCCAUCGUAUUUUCUGUCUUUUACAUUGUGUCUAACAAUGAAAACAUAUUACUUAAAUAAUGAACAAAGAUAUACUCAGCAGUAUAUCUUCCACCGUCUGAACCCCAUCCCUCACCAUUUUCCCUGCUGUUUGCUCUGAGAUCCUCGGGUGUUGGGGCCUUUCCCGUGGGGUCUCCUAUUAGACGCUUUGGCUGAGCACUGACAUUAUCAGGCUCUUGUGUCUCUUGAGCCUACGUACAUCGGCCUUGUCUCUGUUCCUGUUCAGGAUCACUCAGUCUCUGAACUCAAAUUGCACUUUUGAAUGUUUUUAUGUUUUUUCUUCCAUAUUCAGCAGCCAUUCAUAGCUGUGUGAUUACAGACUGAUUAGUAAGACAUUAAAUCCUUUCCCAACAUUAGCGCCCUUUACUCCACCAGAGAGUGUGUGACAUUUCCCGCCUUCCUCAGGAGGGAGCAGAGCCAUCACAAUCAGCUUCCACAAAAGAUGUCUAGGCCAAAGUGCAGCAAUUUGAAGUAAAGCUGCCACUCAAGAUAAAAGACCAUUCUAUGCAAAUUCCACAAAAGAUGUCAUGGUUCUGGGGGAAAGGUGAGCAUUGUGUGGAAAGUUUUAGAAGAAUAUUCAGAUUGUCAAGUGCUUCCCUGGACAUGGGAAAUGGUGCUACUGAAAGCAGUUCUCAAUUAUGAGUAGACAAAUACACGGUGCCUAGUGGAAGGUGCUGGCUGGUUCUGUGCAUCCAAGGCUGGUAUAGUCAGGAAUCACAGCCCAGCGCACAGAAAUAGGGAUGCUCCCACCCUGGUUAAAGUGAACAGUUUACUCCUGGGUACCACCAGAGCAUCCCUUAUUAUGGAUACAGAUCCUAGAAUAGGCCCCUCUCAUGUCCUCCACAUAUACCAAGUGACACCAGGCACUGCAGGUUCCUAUCCAAAGAUUUCCACCUCUUCUGAAAACAAAAAACAAAAAAGAAACAAACAAAACAAAACACAACCCCCUGCCUUUCCUGCCCCCCGACCCCCGACCCGGCAAACAUCUGCAGAUUUCUUUCUCCGAUUCUUUUGCUUUUAGAGUUGCAGCUAACCUCUCCUGGGGAAACGAAGAUUAUUUACAGGCUACCACUCAAGCACUUUCCUGCAAGACUACAGAGUGCCCUGUUAGGCGAAAAAGAACACGAGAUGGGAUGCAAGAUUCUAUUUAUGUUAAGGGGAGAGCAUGUACAGACACAAUCAAGAAAAUAGCGGUAAAUGGUUUUAAAAAAAUGUAUUGGGAAAAGAAGUAAAGAAUUGAGGGAGAAGGAAAGAAUAAAAUAUAUUCUCUUCUUAGAAAUAGAUUUGGUGAUUUGAAGAUGUCCAGAAUAUUAUUGACAAAUCGGCACUCCCUUUACGAAAGUUAAUAUAAUAAGAAAAACAAAGACAGAGGGGGAGAGAUUUUCAAGUUUAAGAUUUGAGAAGCAAACAGUAUAUUGUUUAUUUGGUUAAAAAAUUAAGCUUACAGUACUUAUUGCACAGACCCAAAGACCAAAUGGGAUGUUUCUUUUUGUGCUAUCUUACAAAACAACAGGCAUAGGUUUAAUCAAAAGCGACAUGCAAGCAUCUUGCUCUCACCACAGAUCACUGAGACAUUAAGAGUGACGUCUCUUGAACUGUUGGCACGCCUAAGUUAUUUCAGCAUUUCUUGCUCAGCAGUUGUUCUCUUGGCUUCCUCUGGCAAAAGCUGUAUCCUCUCUUCCUGGCUUAACUGAAACUAGACCAGGACUUUGCCCUCUAGUUUAUUUUCUUUCUAUGCAGAGAAUUUUUUCUCAAAAAUUCCAAAUAUGUUACAAAGAUUCAUGCUUGUCUCAUUUACUACCAGGCCCUGGCUGACCCAGCCAAUGGGAUGGAGUGAGGCCUGACACGUUGGACUUACCCAUAGAGCCUCCUGACACAGACCUCUCUUGCUCUUUCUGCACUGAUGAGCCAAACAGGAAGGACUCCAUGGCUUUGGAAGAAGACAAAUCAACAGGUCGAAGGUUGAGCUCCAUGGAGUCAAAGUGGCUGUAAAGCAGCAUGCGUGUGGAAUUCAUCGACCAGCUACUGGAACAUUGCGGUUCUUGUUACAUCUUUUCAGACUACCCUGACUGGAUAGACAUCCAGUUUAUCCUUGUAUUCAAAUCACCUGUAUUCAAACCUUAUUUCACUGCUAUUAUCUGAACUGUGGCGAACCACCUUACUUCUGUAUGCUUCAGCUGUUUAUGUGGAAUGACACUAAUAUUAUGUAUAUACCACAGAAUAUUAGGGGGAUCGACUCAAAUACUCAGCCCUUUAACACAGCUGCUAUGCAUAAAUUAUUGUUAUUAAUUUCCAAAGUCGACUCAGUUUGAGACAUCAUCCAAAUGUGGGUUUCUCAUGGAGUUGAUCAAGAACGUAAGCCGAGUUGUAAAAUGACAAGUUAUCUAAACAUGACACGUGAUGGUGAGAAUGUUGACUUUGAAAAAACGAAAGAAGAGGCAGCAAAAGAUAUCGGAGUGAGGAAGGCAGAAGAAAGUGUGCAAUUGAAGCAGCCUGGGCACUAACCUGACGCUGUUAAUAAGCCUGCAGAGCAAGAGCCCAGCCCCAGGCAGCAUGAUAAUCAAUUCUGAGUGCCAGCUGGAUUGGCGUAAGGAACACUGAUGGCAUUAACAAGGCAUGACUCUGCUGGCAAGGGUGUUCCCAGAGAGAGAGGUGUUCUUAGGAGGAAAGACCCAGCCUGAACGUGGGCAGCACCAUUCCAUGCGCUGAGGUGUCAGGAGAAAAGCCAGCUGAGCCUGACUUCCUCUUCUCUGCUGCCCAUUCGCCACCAUGGGCCAAGCUGCUCUUGGUACCUUCACUGCCGGGACAGAUCAUGUUCUUGUGAGCCCAAAUGCUUACUCCUGUGGCUGAAUUCUGUCAGUUGUUUAAACACAGAUAGGAGAAAUAACAAAUGUAGUUAAAGUGAACUACAAAGAUUCCACAGGCUGGUAAAGCCGUGUCCUGGGUAUCUUUUUGCCUUAAAUAUAACAUGCACGAAUACCUUGAUCCUUGUUUCUUUCAGUCACAAAAGCCCACCCUGUCUUGUUAACCCACCCUCAUUUCUCCUGUUAUAAAAAGAAACUAAAAUCUGCUACUCGCCCUUUGCCAAACGGUAAGCUUCGUUUUAAGAUGUCUAUAAAUAAAGGACUAUGUUCCCAGAGGACAAAGCCCCUGACCAGCUCACUGCUGUGCAUCUCAGUCUCUUGUCUGUACAUAAAUGAAUAUUACAGGUUCCAAAGUGAAUAAGCACCUGCAGCGAAGAUGGUGAGACCCUCACAAACACAAGUGAGGCAGCGAAGAUGGUGAGACCCUCACAAACACAAGUGAGGCAUACACAACCCACAUGGAAUGGGACUGGUAUUUAUGCAGGGCCAGUGACAGAUGUGCAACACAAGGAAACGAGCUCUUUGCAGCAGCCUGGGGGGCAAGGGUCUAUCAACACCCAGGUUUCCAUCCUUUUAAAGUUUCUCAGAAGAAACUGCUCAGGGUGUCAGCAAAUACCAGGAUGCGGCACUUGCCCAUCACGUGCUCUUCACCUGCGCCUGUCACGUGCUCUUCGCCUGCGCCCGUCACGUGCUCUUCACCUGCACCUAUGAGAUGAGCUUCUGUUCUUCUGCGAUCUCUAAAGCACGAACAGGAAGAGACCUAUUUGUAGAGAAAGAGGCACUUUGCUACCUCAGAAACAAUUUUGUGCCUAUUCGGAGAAGAAAAGGAUUUUAAAAAAAUGUAAGGGGCUUAAAAAAUGGCAAAAUGCGGUUUUCUGUAUUGUUACAACGCUCAAGGACAGCUCUGUUUCAAUGCCUUUGCAAUUUAAAUGCAAUUUUAUUCUGGUGGUGUCUGUAUGGUCAGCAAAAGCAAGCAACAAAACAGCACACUAUCCCUGAGCCACGGGGAUCAUUUGAAGAGCCCGAUGGAUAUAGUUUCCAGCUUCCCCACUUGUGACAGUGCCACGUAAGUGGACUCUCAAACCAUGCAUAUCAAUUGGAUCUUGUGGCACACUGGGUGUUUGUAUAUACUGCAGAGGAUGUGAGGCCUCCGACAGGAACUCACCCGCACACUGGACUACUCUCUCUGAGUCUUAGCCUUCCGGGUUAGUGAGCGGCCUCUCUCACCACGCAGCUCGCCAGAUGCCAAGGGCUGCCCAUCCUCAGUGACAAACAGUGAGAAACGUGCCCUCAUGUUCUCUAGAUGAACUGCAACAUCUCAUGACAAUAGAACACCACUGGUCUUAGCAAUACACGUGGAGAACGCAGCAGAUAGAGCGGAACUCAGGCUCUAUCCAAGUUGUACAAGACAACUGUAGAGUUCAGGGCAGGGAUGAUACCUCUGGUCCGAGGAGACCCUAUGCUGGUGGAGCCUGUGGGCCAUGGUAGAUUCUUCUAGUAAACCACAUGGGCAUCUCCCCUGGUUAUUAUUUAGCAUUUUAAAGGGCACAGUGGGAAGAGUAUUAGAGCAGGAGUCAGUGAUAAGACUUGGGUGUCAGGACUGUCAUCGGACCAGUUGAGCUGUUUCAGGUCCCCAAGUCUCACUCCUUAGCUGCAGGCACGGCGAUCAGACUGGCGGCUUUUCCAGGUCCUUGCAUCUCUAUAUAUUGGGUGCAUAGGAUGCUGAGCACUGGCUCCCGAAGUCACAGCGUCUCUUUACAGAAACAAUCAACGGAUGAGCUUCUGCCAGUUAGAAAUGCAGUUAAGGGUGGCCUCUUCCUUGUUCCGGAAUCGUGCUUCACGUGUCCUAACGCAUGCCACCUGCCACCGGACAAUGUGGCUGAGUCUCUCAUUUUACAGGGCAUAUUAAGUGCUUGAUACGUACAUACAUAUAUAUGUUGUCUUUUUUUCCAAGAAGGUCAUGAGUAAGCUUUUCUGAGGGCAACAUCCUUUUCUUAAGGUCAACAGGUUCCCAGUUCAGUUCACACGCUCGCUUCCCAGUCAGCUUGGUUCAUACUAAAACUGCAGAGGAAAAAAACCUCUCCUUACAUAGUGACCCUUUUCCCACAACAGCCCCUGCUCUAUGGCCGUGUAACAGAAACCAUGCAGAAUGUCGCCUCCUGGCUUACAGAGGGAACGGAGCCCAGCGCCAUGUUCCUCUGUGUGGCUUUCGCUGAGCUACAGGUGGUCGAGUCUGCUGACACUGAUUGCUACACUUGUGUGUCUGAUUGGUGACAACUGUACAUCUGAUUGUAUCCUCAGUUCUAGAUUUAGCAUCUUCUCUGGCUUUAUUCCUCUGGCCAGCCAUGCGGUGUGAUUUCAUACACACUCGGCAAUCAGCGCAUUUACUUUGGAUUUUUUUUUUUUUCCUUUUCAGGAUUCAAAAUGAAACCCAACAAAUUUCAGCUGAAGUCUAAAAUAAGGCUUUCUAUGAGUCACACAUCGGCAAAGGCUGUGGAAUCAUAUGCAUGCUUUCUCAUACAGUUGUAAGUACAUAUAUAUGCACUGCCCAUUCAUGUACUACAUGCACAAAUGGACUUCAUGUUCAUAAAGACAAACAUACCUUCAAAUUAAUUAUCAUUUUUGAUAGUUUGUCGCCAAGAUAAAAAUCAUCUGUCAAUUACAACAUCAAUAUGACUUAUUCAAAGGCUAACUUCAAAGAGACUUUAAAUACUUUACAUUUUCCAUUGUUUUUAAAAAGGAUUCUAAAGAAUUAGAAAUAAUAUUCUAUGACUUUAUUUAAAAAUAUUUCUUAGGAUAGAGUACUCCAGAGUCUCUCACUCUCUUGUAUGCCAUUGAGUUGUGGUGUCUGUGUGUACAUUUCCAUUUUUCUUUUCAUAAAUAUUAAUUAAUAUAUAGGUAGUUAUGUAGCAGUGCUGAGUGAGGUCAUUUAACUUUAAUGUUUGGGUGUGGAUAAAAUCUUUCGGUGGACUAGUACCUGCAGGGCCAACAGGAGCUUUGACUAAUGCUCGCCCUUGCCCACCCACUUGUCUCACUCUCUCACCAAGUCCAAGAUGGAGAAUUUCUCCUUCACAUGGGAGAAAUUAGACUUUGCAUUUCUACCAGAACUAAGGCUGGAAGAAAGGGACAGGAAAUGGAAGCAGAGAAAAGUAUUACUUCAGAGGAAAGCAACUCCUGAGCGUUGGUCAAAGCCCUCAUUGCAAAGGCACUCAACUGGGUCUUCAUGAAGUGCUUUUGGUUUCAUACUUUGCAAAAAAGGAGACAGACAACAAGGAGAAAGAAAGAGGAGGGAGGAGGAUGGGGGAGGAGGGAGAAGAAGAGGGGAGGAGGAGAGAGAAGAGGAGGAGGAGGAGAGAGAAGAGAAGGAGGAGAGCUGAGAAAGGGGGGAAGGAGAGAGAAGGGGGAGGGAGAGAGAAGGGGGGUGAGGGCCACUGUCUAUGCCAUUCCAGACGACUGCAGGCUUAAAUUUGGACGCUGCCUUUUCCACACACAGUGUGAGGAAAGCCCACACAAGAGGAAGCUAUAGCUCUCUUUAGGGAGGCAGGAGAGUAUGUUUGUUGAGUCUCUCAUCUGUAAGCACCAAAAUAGAGUUAGCCCACCACUGACUGGGCAGUGACACAAAUCAGGUUACACACUCCUGAAGGCAUUCAGAUAACUGAGUGUUCAUUUCAUGUAAAAGCAGAACUGCAUCACAACUGAGAGAAAACAACGCUCACAUUGAAAUUUUAACAUUGCUAUUAUUUAUUUUCCUUUAAGUGGGCAUCUUGAAUCACUAUCAGCUCUAAAAUCUAACAUUCAUAGAACUAAAAAAAAAAA